Molecule: ribosomal RNA, 497 nt
Filed under: uncultured bacterium
Lineage: Bacteria
Description: partial 16S ribosomal RNA
Rfam family: Bacterial small subunit ribosomal RNA
Source: RNAcentral
GAUGAACGCUGGCGGCGUGCCUAAUACAUGCAAGUCGAGCGAACGGACGAGAAGCUUGCUUCUCUGAUGUUAGCGGCGGACGGGUGAGUAACACGUGGAUAACCUACCUAUAAGACUUGGAUAACUUCGGGAAACCGUAGCUAAUACCGGAUAAUAUUUUGAACCGCAUGGUUCAAAAGUGAAAGACUGUCUUGCUGUCACUUAUAGAUGGAUCCGCGCUGCAUUAUCUAGUUGGUAAGGUAACGGCUUACCAAGGCAACGAUGCAUAGCCGACCUGAGAGGGUGAUCGGCCACACUGGAACUGAGACACGGUCCAGACUCCUACGGGAGGCAGCAGUAGGGAAUCUUCCGCAAUGGGAGAAAGCCUGACGGAGAAACGCCGCGUGAGUGCUGAAGGUCUUCGGAUCGUAAAACUCUGUUAUUAGGGAAGAACAUAUGUGUAAGUAACUGUGCACAUAUUGACGGUACCUAAUAAGAAAGCCACGGCUACCUACGUG